This 502-nucleotide ribosomal RNA is filed under the name uncultured bacterium. RNAcentral's name for it is "partial 16S ribosomal RNA". It matches the Rfam family "Bacterial small subunit ribosomal RNA", at positions 28 to 507 of the family's 1533-position model. The record is from RNAcentral.
GAUUAACGCUGGCGGCGUGCCUAACACAUGCAAGUCGGGCGGCAGCGCGUUUUACACUGAAUUCUGGAAGCUUCUAGUUGAAAGAGAAGAUUUAUUCAAGAAUUUUGUGUAAAAUGUCGGCGAGCGGCGGACGGCUGAGUAACGCGUGGGAACGUACCCCAAAGUGAGGGAUAACGCAUCGAAAGGUGUGCUAAUACCGCAUAUGGUCUUCGGAUUAAAGCCUUCGGGCGCUUUGGGAACGGCCUGCGUAAGAUUAGAUAGUUGGUGGGGUAAUGGCCUACCAAGUCGACGAUCUUUAACUGGUUUGAGAGGAUGAUCAGUCAGACUGGAACUGAGACACGGUCCAGACUCCUACGGGAGGCAGCAGUGAGGAAUCUUCCACAAUGGGCGAAAGCCUGAUGGAGCAACGCCGCGUGCAGGAUGAAGGCCUUCGGGUUGUAAACUGCUUUUAUAAGUGAGGAUUAUGACAGUAACUUAUGAAUAAGGAUCGGCUAACUACGUG